ACCUGGUAUCUGUAUGUAAAAAAUUAACCUCAACCCUUUAUUUCCAUACAUGAAAAUAACUUGAAGACAUCUAUGAACCUAAAUAUGAAAGCCUAAAACUAUAAAACUUUAAGAAGAAAUUAUAAGGGAAAAUGUUUAUGAAUUUAGGGAAGGCAAGAGCUUCCUAGGAUACAAAAAACAUGUAUAAAAGAAAAAAAAUUGAUAAAUGAGAUUCCAUCAAAAUUUAGAACUUUAAAUGACAUCAUUAAAAUGAAAAGUAGUCCUUAAACAGACCAUAUUUACAAUCCAUAUAACCUAUGAGCAGAAUAUAUAAAGAACUCUUACAGCUCAUAAAUAGACAACUCAAUUAAAAUGUAGAUGUAAGAAGAUGAUAAAUAGCCAGUAUAGCACAAGGAAAGGUGUGCAACAUUAGAAUCAGAAAAAUACUAAUUAGUACAAAAACAAGAUUGAGUUAUACAUUCAUGAGGGAGAUGAAGCUAAAAGUUUUAAAAGCCUUGUCAUGACUUUUUCUUUUUGUUGGAUUCUCCCCCUUUGUGUUUAAUUUGUCACCCCCAAUGGAUUCAUUCUGCUGGGUUUCCUGGGUUGUGAUCCUCAUUGUCUUUUCCUAGGGUAUUGUCUAAAAUUUUUUGGAGUUUUGGUUUGUUAUUCAUGAAGUUCCUAAGGUACUCUUUAUCGUGAAAGUAUCUUAUUUCUCCAUCAAUUUUGAAAGAUAGUUUUGCAGGGUACAUCAAUCUGGGUUGGAGGCUGUUUUCCUUUAGGGCUUGAAAUACAUCACUCCAAGCUCUUCUUGCCUUGGUGGUUUGUGUUGAGAAGUCUGCUGUGAUUCUGAUGGGCUUUCCUUUGUAUGUGAUUAGUUUCUUUUCUCUCACUGCUUGUAGAAUUUUGUUCUUGGGUUUCUGGAAUCCUAACUAUUAUAUGUCUAUGUGAAGUUUUUUUUUUGAUCAAGUCUAGUUGGAGUCUUAUAUGCCUCACUUAUCUGUAUGUCAUGUUCUUUUCUCCUGCUUGGGAAGUUUUCUGUCAUUACUUUUGUGAACAGUUUUUUUAUGUCAUCUGUACUCUCUCCUGUUUCUUCAUUGACUCCAAUCAGUCUUAUGUUAUGCUUCUUUGCAUCAUCUAGCAACUGCUGGAUUGCUUUCUCAUGGUCCCUUACAAUUUUAAAGUAAUUUUUAUUUUCCUGGUCACUAAUUGCAGUCUUAUCUUCUAUAUCUGAAAUUCUGUCCUCACAUUGGUUCAUUCUGCUGUGUAGACUUUCAAUGGAGUGCUUAAUCUCCUGGAAAUCUGUUUGCAUGUUUUAUGGUUUCCAUUUGUUUCCUAUGUUGGAAUUCCAUCAUGUUCCUCAGAUCCUCUAUUUUUUAAAUCUGUGUCCUCUCUAGAUUUAUUAAUCAUGUCUUGUACUAUGGGCACAAUCUCUGCUGUUAUCUGAGAAAUUAUUUCUGAUUUCAUUUUUUCCAGAUCCUCUUUUGUUGCUAGUUCAGGGAGUCCAGGUUGUUGAGUAUCAGUUUGUUCCAUCUUGUUUCCUUUUGGGCUUGCUGUAUGUGAUCUGGAAGUCUGUUUUUGAG
RNAcentral lists this long non-coding RNA (1559 nucleotides) under Heterocephalus glaber (naked mole-rat). RNAcentral describes it as "lncRNA (ENSHGLG00000037993.1)". Lineage: Eukaryota; Metazoa; Chordata; Mammalia; Rodentia; Bathyergidae. The record is from RNAcentral.